CAUACUGAUGAUUGGAGUUUUGAUUCACCUAAAGUACCAUGCAAGAGCACUCAUUUUCCCUCUUGAGACCAUGGUGUGACCUGCAAGGUCGAAUGGAGACUGUAAACGAGACAAUCUUGGAGUCACCUGCAUUCACUGGUCCAGUUGUUAGUCCAAUUACAGAUGGAGAUUAUAGAAGAGGAUGAUGUCUUUUCUCCAACAUCUUUCUAGACUGAUAAAAGAUCUAGACAGGCUCAAACAAAAGUUAACAGACAGAGGGGCUUAUAUAGAGAAUGGUGAGCAGCUACACAUAAAAGAAGAACAUGGAGAAUCUGCCCAGAGGUGUUAAC
Non-coding RNA from Paramisgurnus dabryanus, 329 nucleotides. The record is from RefSeq and is a predicted model, not a curated record. NCBI's taxonomy places the organism in Eukaryota, Metazoa, Chordata, Actinopteri, Cypriniformes, Cobitidae.